RNAcentral lists this long non-coding RNA (220 nucleotides) under Gossypium barbadense (sea-island cotton). Its description in RNAcentral is "long non-coding RNA (GBAR_LNC007650)". The record is from RNAcentral. Lineage: Eukaryota; Viridiplantae; Streptophyta; Magnoliopsida; Malvales; Malvaceae.
CGGUCUUGCUAAAGCUAUACUACUGUUAGAUAGGUACACUUGCCUCCAUCGUGAUAAUAGUUAGUUUUAAGAACGAUUAAUUAUAAAUCUUUAAAACCUGUCGCGAAUAUCACGUAUCACUUGCCAAGUUAUGUAGCUUGUUGUGUUUAUUUGUAAAAUGAGGUAAGUUUUUCUUAAAUGCCUAUGAACUUACUAAGAAUUCAAUAUGCUUACCCCGUUU